AGGUUGAACGCUGGCGGCAUGCUUUACACAUGCAAGUCGAACGGUAACAGGCCGCAAGGUGCUGACGAGUGGCGAACGGGUGAGUAAUGUAUCGGAACGUGCCCAGUCGUGGGGGAUAACGCAGCGAAAGCUGCGCUAAUACCGCAUACGAUCUAUGGAUGAAAGCGGGGGACCGUAAGUCCUCGCGCGAUUGGAGCGGCCGAUAUCAGAUUAGGUAGUUGGUGGGUAAAGGCUCACCAAGCCAACGAUCUGUAGCUGGUCUGAGAGGACGACCAGCCACACUGGGACUGAGACACGGCCCAGACUCCUACGGGAGGCAGCAGUGGGAAUUUUGGACAAUGGGGAACCCUGAUCCAGCCAUCCCGCGUGUGCGAUGAAGGCCUUCGGUUGUAAAGCACUUUUGGCGAGGAAGAACGGCGUGCCGUAAGUACGGACGUCACUGACGGUACCUGACAGAAUAAGCACCGCUAACUACGU
RNAcentral lists this ribosomal RNA (477 nucleotides) under uncultured soil bacterium. Its description in RNAcentral is "bacterial SSU rRNA". It matches the Rfam family "Bacterial small subunit ribosomal RNA", at positions 26 to 506 of the family's 1533-position model. The record is from RNAcentral.